AGCAGUAGCCGCGGGAAUACGAAGGGGGCUAGCGUUGUUCGGAUUUACUGGGCGUAAAGCGCACGUAGGCGGAUUCUUAAGUCAGAGGUGAAAUCCCAAGGCUCAACCUUGGAACUGCCUUUGAUACUGGGGAUCUUGAGUCCGGGAGAGGUGAGUGGAACUGCGAGUGUAGAGGUGAAAUUCGUAGAUAUUCGCAAGAACACCAGUGGCGAAGGCGGCUCACUGGCCCGGAACUGACGCUGAGGUGCGAAAGCGUGGGGAGCAAACAGGAUUAGAUACCCGGGUAGUCCCUGUCUCUUAUAA
Molecule: ribosomal RNA, 303 nt
Filed under: uncultured bacterium
Lineage: Bacteria
Description: partial 16S ribosomal RNA
Rfam family: Bacterial small subunit ribosomal RNA
Source: RNAcentral